UCCAGAAGUCACACGCUUGCCCAAAGUGCCGCACAAGGAUACACCUAGGAAAAGUUUGGUUGCUGCUCCAGUGCCUCUUGGAAAAAAGGCAAUUUUGCCACCGCUGAAGCAAACACUGGGGAACAGUUUUGUUGAGAGACAGAAGAGGACUCAGGCUGUUCAAAGAAGCCGUCUUCAUCGAACUGCCUUUUAAUUCAGCAUUAUUCGUCUUGUUUCCUUAUGACUGCCUUGAGAGUUCAAACCACACGUGUAUGAUAGAUUCUUCAGCUGUUACCACAUCAUUCCACGUUAAAAG
Molecule: long non-coding RNA, 295 nt
Organism: Nothoprocta perdicaria
Lineage: Eukaryota; Metazoa; Chordata; Aves; Tinamiformes; Tinamidae
Exons: 2
Source: RefSeq, a predicted model, not a curated record